UGCCAUGGCAUUUAUGAUGGAAAAUGAAUUAGAAGCUAAAACUCCAGGAAGCUUCUCGAAUUUUUGAGUGAAACCUAAUAUUAAUCAAAGAUAAGCUUCUGAGGUACCAAUGAUAAGACGACAUGUGGUUUUUAGUGUUGUUAGAGCCAUAUCGGUUUAAAAGUUAGGUGAGAUUUGCGUCUGAAUUACAGGAUGAGUAUGUGGUAAAAACCAUUGCUUGGAAGCUUGUGACCACUUUAUUAUACAGGACCUACAAGAUCUUGAUCAUAUAGCUAUGAGAGAUGCAUUCAUUCCAACCGUAGCUAUGUGACACGCUGAAUGUUUCUACUAGAAGCAACUUGAUGCUGAUUUUCUCUUUGAAUUGCCUGUAUGGAUUGUGCGUGCAUGAAAAAAUUUCUGACUCUUGUCCUCAUGAUUUCUUCUUCCAACCAGUAAUAAGACCUAUUUGCUUUUCUUAUGUAAGAAAAAACUUGCUUUGGACAACCUUGAAGUUCCAGUUGGUGAGAAACUGAUUGUCAAGUAACUAGGUGCAUUUCAAAUAUGUUACUAUAUUUUCUAACUAAGAUGAUUAGUGUUUUAGUCUAAAUUAGUGAAUGGUUUCAUAGUGUACCUUAUUUAUUCAUAAUGCACUUUGAUUGAACAGCCAUGUGAUUGUUGAGGAUGGAGAGCGUUAUUGUGGCAAGAAGAAAUCGGACAAAUGAGCCACAAAUUUAUGUUUAUCAUUGCUUCUCCACCCCCUUCUAUAAAUUUUGGUCAAAGUGUGUUGUUAGUGUUCUGAAUUAAUACCCUCGAACUAUCCACUCGUAAUUUAUUGAUGAUCUUUUUAUGUUUCUCCCUUAAUUAUUUCUUAAAGAUCAUACAAUAAUAUAUCUGAACAAAUCUGUUCAUAGUAGAAUUUUCCAUGCAUUUUUCGGCUGUAAAGGGUUUUGUUCCCAUUAUUCUUUCGUAAGAUAUGAUUAAGGCUAUCGAUAGCAAUGUUUUUGCUUUGUUAUGCACAAUGUGUUGUGCUUUUCAUUUACUAUUGUGCUAUGUCUGGAACCAAAUUAUGGUCUUUUAUCUGCUUUUGUGAAGUUCCUAACAUUGUUUUCUUUCGUUGUGAGUUAGCUAGACUUUGAUAAUCUUACUUGGUAUAAAAAUGCAUUGUAAGCAUUGUAUUGCCUUUUAAGAUGUAAGAACCUACUCCUUGGGUAGAUUUCUUCAUACAAAAUGGUUUCUAGAAGAGAUAUCAUCUCUUAUCUAAUAGUCUAUUGUUGUAAUUAUUUAUAGUUAUGUGGUGACAAUACACUACUAUAAAUGACUUCAAGGACCGUAAUGAAUAGUUGAUGCGAAAAGUAUUUGGCCCUUUUAGUUGUGGAGCAUAAUAAAGGAACAAAGGCACCUUUCUACAUGGUAUAUAUAAAAAUAUUGUUAGAAAAUGUGGAGGUGGCUAAUGCAAUAAGAAGCCUCUUUUUCCAUGUGAUAUUCUCAACAACUUCAAGCAAGCAAAACUUGUUGAGUUCAUGCAGUAUAUGCCUUGAUCAAUCUUAUUUAUAUUCUAACUUGAAGGAGCAAACAUUCCUAAAUGUAUGUUUAAGAAAAGCUGUCUUUCUGGCGAAGCUCCUAAAUUUGACAUGAUAUGCUUGGUUUGUUUUUCUUGCGCUUUCAAAGGCAACAAGACAUGCAGAGAUGGAAGCUCUUGAUGUCCUUCAAGAACAGUGGCAGAGGACUGGAUUUUCAGCUGCGGAUGUUGCAGGGCCUUUAAUGCGACAUGUGAAUGCAUACUGUGUGCAGCAGCAUUAUCAAUCACUGGUGUGAAGUAUAUUAUGGCUGUACAAAUGAUAAAUUUGGAGGCUGUGGCUCAAUGCUGGCGUUGCGUUCAAAUAGCUCUGAGGCAUGCAUUUCGGAACUUGCUUUUGUUGUUGAUUUCGUAUCUACCUAGCUCCACUUUGUAAUCGUGACAUAUGAUAAUUGACAGCUAAAGCUUACUGGAGGUUUAUGAUUCCUUAUGUUUAUUACUGAUGGAUGUGAUUUCAUAGUGAUUCUGUUUGUUGUCACUAAUUGACUAUUGCACCAAAUAACCAUGAAAUUUAAUGGAGGUUUAUGGAACGUUUGUUCUA
Eucalyptus grandis is the source of this 2096-nucleotide long non-coding RNA. RefSeq lists it as uncharacterized. The record is from RefSeq and is a predicted model, not a curated record. The transcript is spliced from 2 exons. Lineage: Eukaryota; Viridiplantae; Streptophyta; Magnoliopsida; Myrtales; Myrtaceae.